GUUCUAAAUAGUAAUAGAAAAAAUUGAAGAUAUAUACAAAGUGUCCAAUAUUCAGAUGCCUAUGCAACAAUAUUUGAAUGCUUUGGAUCUUUCUGGGACAACCAAGGAGAAAACAAGUUUAUAUUAAGCAUGGAUCAGUGCCAUUCAUAUACUAAUGAAUGACAUUGCCUGUGAAGCAUCUCAUGGAACUGAAAAUUGUCCAGGGGAUAGAGAAAACCAGUGUAUUCAGAUGGAGGUGGGAGAGGUUGCUCUUGGAUGCAAAACAGUGGAAAACGAUUUGUCCAGAAGCAGCAAUGGAAGAUGUGGGCUGAUGGCACAGUAGUUCAGUAGCUUUGCUGACCAUUUUGCAAAUGCUUUUGCUUAGUCAGGUCAAAGUGUUUAGAUUAUAGGGAAACACUGCAGUUGUCAAGAGGCAGAGAACUGCUAUAGCUAGCUAAAUUAUUUUGCUAAACUAUUUCCUAUUUUCAAGUUUUUUAAUUAAAGAUUAUUUGGGGUAUCUUCAUUCUUCACUGCAGAAAACACCAGGGACAAACUCUUGAUUAAUCAAGUCUAGAAUUAUUUUGAUGAUUGUAAGGCAUGCAUGAGCAUUAAACACUUUGUCAGUGAAGUCUUUCCUAAACCUCUUCUAUGACAAGAUUGGAUUUUGAAUUGAAAUCAUUUUUGAAUGAUUUGGUUAUACUUUUUUCUUUAUGUAAGUGUGUGUGUUAGCCUCUAAUGAAGUGUGAAAUCUUGCUGACUGUAUAAGAAAGUCAUGAGGAAUCCAUCAUGUGUAAUAAAGACAGGGCUUCUGGCUGCAAGAAUAAAUCAGUACAACAGCAAGAUAGAAGGGAGACACAGAUGUGAUUUGGUAUGGAGUCGGGGUGGCUGCAGGGGACUCUAAGAUAUUUAGGUCAUAAGAAGAGAAAGGAUUUUUGCUGUAGGUAAACAGGAACUUAAUCUUGUCCCAGCUAAUGAUAGAGUUGCUUUGAUGCACAGGCAAUGUUUAUAUGGAGAAAUUAUACAUUGCAGUUCUUACCUACUCAUGUAUACCCCUACAAGUUUUGUUAGUUAGUUUGUAAACAACUGAAUGGUCCCAUUGUAGUUGCCACCAUGGGAAAGCACAUGUGUGAGUUAAUUAGAACAAGCUUGGUAAGCCUCAGCUCCUGCUGCUGCUGUGAUCCAAACAGCAAAAAUAUGGUUGUUGGUAGCAUUAAUGAGUAAAUAUUUUAUGUGAAUUUAAUGAGAUCCUCAUUUUUUCUUGUUCAAUUUACUUUUUUUUUCCUCUUUCAUUUUUUUCCUACAGGAAUCAUCCAUGAUCCCCCAGCAGUUUUAACAAGUAUCAUAGAAAAAACCACAAGAUUCUGUUAAACGAAUGUCUGUGCAAAAGAAACUAUAGGGAGCCCAGCAACACAUCAGCCAGCAACCAUCAGAUCGCUACUGCCAUCAGUUAAAUUCUCACUCCCUCACACUUCAAAACUUUUGAUUUAAUCUUUUCCUUACAUGUUUAAUAUUAUGUCACCCUAAACUUAAUUUUAUUAUCUUUUAAAACCUCUAAGAAUGAAAGAGCAAUUUUAAAAGGAACUUCAAACACAAAAUAAUAUCCAAAACAGUGUCAAUUUUUAAGACUGUUACUCUCAAAUAAAAGCUGAAACAUUCAGAAACCGAAGUGUUAACUGGCUAACAUCACAUAGUUGAAAAGGAAACCUUUGGAAGAGAGGCAAGAAAGCAAUGUGGAUGAGCUCUUGGAGGAAUGGGAGAUGCAGUGGCAAAGUCUACAGAGUCCAGAAUUACACAGCUGUUUCAUUCAAGCUGGGUAUGCAGAGAUCAAAGGAUCUCUGUGCCAUUAAAUGGGAUCUCUCAAGAAAGGGAAGGAGACCACGCGGACGGAGCAAUGCAAGUAGGAAUAAGAGUCUGCUGUUCUUGCUGACAGGGACCGAUGUGAGACAUGGAGAGAGGUUCCAGGUGGGGCAAUGUGAAGAAGCUGGAGCUUCUGGGGAAUAGUGAACCACAGAGGAUGAUAGACGGCAGAGGGGUUUUGUACUACUUUAAAGUUCUAUUUCUUGUGGAUGCUUCUCAACAGGUAAGGACGGUAAGGAAUUAAAGCAGCAGAGAGACAUUAUGGUGGUGUGGGUAGCAUACCCGUCUGUGCAUAUUUGCAGCUACACCCUCACAGGGGAAGCAGAUAAAGGAAAGGACCACAAACAGGCCUCGUGACAGCAUGUGUUGUAGAAGGAAAGAGUCCAGGAAGAUACUUGUCAGACAUGAAAUAAAAGCCAUCAGAAGAAACCUGAUAUGGACCCUGCGUCAUUCAGAGUGCAGGAUGAACAGUGCUUGGAAUGAAUCGGCACAAUGAAGUGAAAGAAGCUGUUGUUUGCAGGACUCAUGGCAGUUGUUGAGGAAGUUGGCGUAUGUGUUUUGAAUGAGUUGGGAUGUCAAGAAAAGAAAGGAUGAUCCUGUAGCUGAGGCAACUCUGUUUCUCUGGAGAAUGAGUUUCUGUCACUGCCUUUGCCAAAAAGAUUCUAUGAGGUACUGUUUUGGGGAGAGAAAGGACAAAACUUUUCUCAGGUAUCCACUAACUGUGAACAUGUCAUUUUCCUAGAAAUCUGGGAGCCUGGAUCCGUUUUCUGUAUGCCCCAAUAUCAAACAAAAUGUUGAGUUCAGUGAGCAGUGUGCUUCAUUCUUACACUUGGAUGAAUAUUUAUACUAUCAUAAUUAAAAACUGUCUUACAAGAGAGUUGAAAAAAUGUUUUGUGCUUUCAGUUCUACGUAUUCUGAACUCCCAGAAUAGCUAUUUGAUGCAACUGUGUUAAGAGAGUUAUCUGUUUACAGAGCUAGCAUUUAGUUAAUUGUUAAAUAAAAAACUUGAAGUAGUGACAAACAAUAAUCAAUUUUAUUAGAUAAGAAUACUGAGUGCCAGUACAAACUACCUAACUAAUUGAAGGUUUCCUAAUUUGUGAUGAUAGUCUGUAUUUAUCUUUGAUGCUCAGCUGUAUAUCCUGCUAUAGUAGUUGCAAAAUGUUUAUGAAAGAUGUAUUUUCCUUUACGAUGUUUUGAAAUCAACUAGUUUAUUUUCAGCAGUAAGCAACUAUUUCAAAAUCAGGGCCUCAAAGAAACUGGUGUAUCAGCUUUCACAUAUUCAACUUGGAUCUAAUCUGCUUUCCUUGUAUCUUAGUGUAGUUGCUCUUUCCUUCUAAAACUUAUUUUUAGGCAUCAAUUUAGCUACAGUGAUGCGGCCAGAAUUAAUCUUCCCUUAUUCUAGAAUGAAGUAGAAAUAAUCCAGUUGGCCUCUGCUCCUGUGUAAGUGGGUUUUACUUCAUAGGGGACUAAUCAAUGAAGAGUAAGUUCCAAACUGUACUCAGAAUUUGGGUUGCAAGCGGCAGUCAGCUCAGAGACAAUAUUGCUACAAUGUGAAUUUUUCUCUGAAUGAUAGUAUCAUGCAACCAAAUAAAACAUUUUUUCUUCUCUCGGACAUCUUCAAACUCUGUCAUCUUCUUCAGUAAUGCAAACGGAGAGAUUCUCAGUUCCUCAGACAUUAACUUUCAGUCCUCAUGCUUUAGAGUAACUAAACUGAACAUUGUUGUCAUUUUACAGUUAAGAGAAUAAUGUAAGAUUCCUAAGAUUUUACUCUCACUUCUCAGUUGUUGAUCACUUAGCAAAUAUUCCCUUAUUCUACUCAGCUAUGACAUAGUGAAAUGCAACAGCAGUACAUUAGUAGUCUAAAAAUGCAUUUUUGUACGUGAAAAUCUGACUUCAUUCUGCAUUUUAGGUGUUUGUUUGAGGGAUUUAGACAUUAAGAAAUCCUAUUCAGUGAGCAGUUUGGAUUUGUUUUUAUUACAGCAGAACAGUAAAGUGAGCAUUAAUGAAAAGGGAGAACACCGACAUGAUUCUGCAUGGAGGUUUGUUUUUUUUUUUUGAGUCAUAAAAGGUUAUCUUGCUUCUUAAGUAGCUAUUCAUCUAGAAUGUAGGUAAAAUCAUAAGUUCAUAUUGGAUGUUUUUAUUUGAGAUUUUAUUCACAGCAAUAAACUCUAGACCAGGAUAAUAAAACGUGAGCUUUAUGAGAAUAUUCUUGAUUGAUGAGGGUCUGUAUGUGGCUGUGAUUGUGGAAGCACGUGUACUCAGUGCAGAUGGGAAGAGGAAUGUUUCAGCUGUGCAAGUACCCUGAGCUGUGGAGGAGUAAAUCGAGCUGAGACAGUGAGGCUCCCAGCCAGGGGUGCUCUCAUAAAAGCACAGCCAUACUUGGUGCCAUGCUGUUUGAUGUAGCUUAAAUCACAGCCUCCUCCAAAGAAAGGAUAUUAGGUGUAGAGAAUAGAGAAUGACUUUAGGAAGGCCAGUUAAGUCAUGUAGCUUAUUCUAGCUUAUGCCUGACAUUGCAAGCUACUAUUAACCUUGCAAUAAUUUACUGAAUCUUAGUUUAGAAUCAAAUUAUAGUCUGAAAAAAAUUGAUAAUUUAGGGCUUGUCUAUCUCAUAUCCAGUUUCGGUCAUUUAAUAAGAAUAAUAACUAAGGGUAGUUUUAAGUUGUCAGAGCUGUCUACUUCCUUAAACUAUAAUUUUGACAGACAGAGAGGUGCUACUUUUCCAAUUUCCUGUACCAACCAUAACAAUGUGAUCCAAUUCAGGUGAAGGAUAGUAUAUCUAUAUUUGUCCUGACAAUAGAAAUGUGUUCAAAUAAAUGAAUGUAAAAAUAGUACUUUUUUUUCUUUGGCCCAGUGUUAUGCAGAGACGUACAAAAGCAGAGACUGUGACAGGUGAGGUGACAUCACAUUCCCCUUAACAGUAAUGUUAGUAGCAAGGCCACAGAUACAGAAAGCACUGGGCAAUUAAUUGCCUUCUUUUUUAAUGAUAAUAUCUUUGUAUGAGAAGGGCUAUAAAUACUCCUUUUGUUUAUUUUGCAACCCAAGGGCAAAUCUAUGAUAGAGACAAGAUUCUGCAGCCACAGAGUUAUAGAAGACUCAGCAUUCUACUGUGCUGCUAAUAAGAGCUUCCAAGUACUUUUGAGAUGACCUAAAAAUAAAUCAGAGCAGCUCUUAUGUUUUAUAGACAGUUUUACUAAAGGCAUGGUGGGAGGGAGAGGGAGAAGAGAAAAAUGCAUAUGUAAACAAAUCUUCAGAAGGAACAUUUUCUAAAGAAGGUAUAUCAUGUAACUACGUGGGUAAAACUUGCAUUAAGUAAAUGCCCAGUGUGAAAUCCAUAUCUAAAUUAGAAUCAAUUAGCUUGAAAAUGUUGAUUGCAAGCCAGUCAACAUUGAGAAGUCUCUGAUGGUUGCCAUUUGUAGUAAAGAAGAAUGAUUCUGGUCUAAAUACAACCUGAGGCUACUACUGAAAAAAACUUCACUCAUCUGCUCCUCUGUUUCACUUGAAAAUAGACCAAUGAAAACUGCCUGCAGUCAAUGGAUGUAAGUAGCACUCGAUUUUAUCAAUAAACAGUGGCAUAGCAUGAGGGACAAAUGUCAGCUCAAACCUGUAAUGCCAAUGAAAGAUGGAGAUACUGGGACCUCCCGGGGACACAGACACCAGCACACACUUGCCAAGCAGUCAGGUAUCAUGCCCUCUUUUGAACUCCUGUUGAAAAUUAGAUGAGAUUUCUUUCUUCAUUAUUUCUUCUGCGUAAUUCCUCCUAAUUUUACUUCCAUUCCUGAAGAAUUUGUAGCUGUUUUUGUCUUCUUCCAAUGUUAUUUUUGUUAAAUAAUUAAUUUGUUACCCACUAGUUUUAUAAGAGGCUAAUAUAGCUUUUUACUUAAUUUUGAAAUGCUCAAUACCCUCCUGAAAAAGAGGCUAUUUGAUCAGAAGAACAGAGAAGAUUAUAUGCAGCAUUUCUAAUAAUGUUCAUGUGUACAUGAACUUCUACGAUGUCAUCAUUCAUUCACUUUACUGGAAAUGCCUCGUGCAUGUUUGGACUGCAUUCCUCUUUCAAGGGUAUAGGAAACUAAUAAUCAUUUUGACUGUUUAAUCCAUUAUCACUCUUCAAUCACUUUUUGUAACUGAGAUCCCAGGAAGAAUUCUUAUUAUCCUUUAUUUAUGACCUUGCAGUCCAUACAAUUGAUUUUCCCCCAUUACCAUUACUUUGCCUCCCAAGGUCAUUCACUACUUCUAGUACAACAUAAAGGUUCCUCUCUGUAUGAAUAAUUCAUCUCAGUAACAUACCGAGAGACCUCAGUGGCGUAUUUUGUGUUUUGUACAUAAAGUUUGUGAAUGGAAGCAUUAAAUUAGGAUUGUCUGAAGAUGGCUUUUUGAGAACUCCACCUAGAAACUUACAAGAGCUUCUGGUCCAGUGCUGCUGUUUCAGUGUGUGCAAAGAAGGUAAAUUCACAGUACGAUUGGCAGCACUGAAUUGCACUUUCCAUUUAACAUUUCAGAAAUAUUUGUGAAUGUUAAAUAACCUUGUUUUUACUUCAGCAAGGUUGGUUACUUAUCUGUAAAAUAACUGGAUCGGAAUAAAAUGUUUUUAAAACCUAAAACAAUGAAUAGAAAACAAUGUAGCCUUUUUCUUUGCAUCCACAAUAGUUGCACUCAGACAAUAUAUUGUUAAUUCUCUUUGUCUGAGAUGGGCAGUACAAGGCAAACUGACAGUGAAAAGUUAUCUUCCCUUUGGAAAGCUAUAAACCUGAGCUGCUUCUUUCUUUGAGAAGAAAAAUAAUACCGUUCUGUAUAACAAUAUAAAGCAAUGCUGACACCUACAGAGAAUGUAUGUAAAUAUCAACUUUAGAAUUGGCAUUUUCUGUGAUAAUUUCCAGAAAUACUUGGUAAAAGAACAAAUGGUUUAAAGGAACUUAAAGAAAAUAGAUCUUUAUCUUCUACCUGUAUCAGUCCUUGGU
Numida meleagris (helmeted guineafowl) is the source of this 6791-nucleotide long non-coding RNA. RefSeq lists it as uncharacterized. The transcript has 7 exons. The record is from RefSeq and is a predicted model, not a curated record. Lineage: Eukaryota; Metazoa; Chordata; Aves; Galliformes; Numididae.